UGGCUCAGGACGAACGCUGGCGGCGUGCUUAACACAUGCAAGUCGAACGAUGAAGCCGCUUCGGUGGUGGAUUAGUGGCGAACGGGUGAGUAACACGUGGGCAAUCUGCCCUGCACUCUGGGACAAGCCCUGGAAACGGGGUCUAAUACCGGAUAUUACCUGGUGAGGCAUCUUACCGGGUGGAAAGCUCCGGCGGUGCAGGAUGAGCCCGCGGCCUAUCAGCUUGUUGGUGGGGUGAUGGCCUACCAAGGCGACGACGGGUAGCCGGCCUGAGAGGGCGACCGGCCACACUGGGACUGAGACACGGCCCAGACUCCUACGGGAGGCAGCAGUGGGGAAUAUUGCACAAUGGGCGAAAGCCUGAUGCAGCGACGCCGCGUGAGGGAUGACGGCCUUCGGGUUGUAAACCUCUUUCAGCAGGGAAGAAGCGCAAGUGACGGUACC
This 444-nucleotide ribosomal RNA is filed under the name Streptomyces sparsogenes subsp. cuspidosporus. RNAcentral describes it as "bacterial SSU rRNA". It matches the Rfam family "Bacterial small subunit ribosomal RNA", at positions 20 to 479 of the family's 1533-position model. Lineage: Bacteria; Bacillati; Actinomycetota; Actinomycetes; Kitasatosporales; Streptomycetaceae. The record is from RNAcentral.